This 46-nucleotide transfer RNA is filed under the name Taenia solium (pork tapeworm). RNAcentral's name for it is "partial tRNA-Leu". The record is from RNAcentral. Lineage: Eukaryota; Metazoa; Platyhelminthes; Cestoda; Cyclophyllidea; Taeniidae.
UAUGAGUUAGUUUUAAGCAUUAAUUAUGGAAGUUUUCCUAGCUAUU